RNAcentral lists this unclassified non-coding RNA (889 nucleotides) under Cimex lectularius (bed bug). RNAcentral describes it as "oocyte zinc finger protein XlCOF15-like, transcript variant X3". Lineage: Eukaryota; Metazoa; Arthropoda; Insecta; Hemiptera; Cimicidae. The record is from RNAcentral.
AUCAGUGUAAUGAUAAGUUUUGACUAAAACUUGAUUUGGUCUAUUGUUUAAAUCGUCACCUAGUCCUAUAGAAUGAUGCUUGAUGAUCACUGGCAAAGAACUUGAAAGCACAAUGAUGGAUGCAUCCUUUUUGGAAACGAUUUAGUUAACACACCCUUAGAUAAUCGCACUUUUUAAAAGAACUUGUGGAACCAGAGAUACACAGAGUUAUUUAGUAAAGAGCUGAAGAAGGAGCAGGCAGAAUCACAAAAUCAACACCGUGGCAAAAUGCUGAACCACGUCUGACAGACCAACCCAGCGAGAGGAAGACCAAAAUGAUCAGUGACGACCAAAUUUCAUUCAUUCAUUCAUUCACCAGUUCAUCACCACACAGACAACAUGGAGAAAUGUUGCAUAAAAAAUUUACAGCUGCUGACAACUGUCCAUUCAGUUCAGACAUUGGGUCAGUUCCUCCCUGAUGAUGGCUCAAUACCGAACGUGUUGUGUACUUCAACAAGUCUGCGAGUGAAGAAGGACCGAAUACCAGUUCAGCGCGAGUUCACCGAUUCGCAGACCGACACUCACCAUCAACUCUGUCCAUUCACUCGACAACAGAAUGGCACAAGAAUAUACUGCAUUUAACAUUGUUCUGAAGCUGGAUGAUUUAAUUGUCUUUGUUUUAAACCAAUUCGAACUUAAAUAGAUUAUUAGUUAUAUAAAUUUGUUCUUUGUUGCAAUAAAUAGCUUUUAAACAGGUCCGACAUAAAAAUUUUCCAAAUUAGUUAUUGACCUUUGUAUUAUUUAAAAAAAAUAUAUAUAUAUUUUCAUUCAGGACGUCGUCAAUCGAGAAUUCUCACAGUAUUGUUUCUCAACCAAAACAAAUUUAUUUUAAACAACUUGUAAAUAAUGU